Molecule: ribosomal RNA, 497 nt
Filed under: uncultured bacterium
Lineage: Bacteria
Description: partial 16S ribosomal RNA
Rfam family: Bacterial small subunit ribosomal RNA
Source: RNAcentral
GAUGAACGCUGGCGGCGUGCCUAAUACAUGCAAGUCGAGCGAACAGACGAGGAGCUUGCUCCUCUGACGUUAGCGGCGGACGGGUGAGUAACACGUGGAUAACCUACCUAUAAGACUGGGAUAACUUCGGGAAACCGGAGCUAAUACCGGAUAAUAUAUUGAACCGCAUGGUUCAAUAGUGAAAGACGGUUUUGCUGUCACUUAUAGAUGGAUCCGCGCCGCAUUAGCUAGUUGGUAAGGUAACGGCUUACCAAGGCAACGAUGCGUAACCGACCUGAGAGGCUGAUCGGCCACACUGGAACUGAGACACGGUCCAGACUCCUACGGGAGGCAGCAGUAGGGAAUCUUCCGCAAUGGGCGAAAGCUUGACGGAGCAACGCCGCGUGAGUGAUGAAGGUCUUCGGAUCGUAAAACUCUGUUAUUAGGGAAGAACAAAUGUGUAAGUAACUAUGCACGUCUUGACGGUACCUAAUCAGAAAGCCACGGCUAACUACGUG